RNAcentral lists this unclassified non-coding RNA (3883 nucleotides) under Rhagoletis pomonella (apple maggot). Its description in RNAcentral is "forkhead box protein K1, transcript variant X1". Lineage: Eukaryota; Metazoa; Arthropoda; Insecta; Diptera; Tephritidae. The record is from RNAcentral.
AUACAAGGAGUCUUUUAUAAAAAGCAGUAAUUUGUUUAGAUUAAAAAUAAAGAGUACAUGCAUAUGUAAUAGGAAAACAAACGCACUAUAACGCAAUCAACCGUAUUUGACGUGCAGUGCUAACACAUUUUUUCAUUGGAAAAAAGUGUAGCAAAAAGGCAGGAUUGGAAAAAAAGGCGCCGCAUACAAAUGGAAUUCUACCCCCACCAACAACAACCACAUACUACUCAGCAAGUGGACGACGGUUCUCUAUCCGGCCCGGCAACUAACACAAAUACUAUCAAUAGUAACAACAGCAAUAUCAAUAUUAACAACGUUCGUAGCACAAACAUUACCCCGCCCACCUCAAAUACAAUCAGUUCAGCAGCAGCAGCCGUUUCCGUCGACGCUGCCACUGUUGCUAUCGCCAAGGAUAUGCUCCAAUUGCAUCAUGGCAGUGGUGCGGCACUAACCAAUAACAAUAAUAGUAACAGCAACAAUACUAGCAACAUCAGUAAUAACAACCAUAAUAAUAGCUCUGCCCUGGAGGCCAUGAAUACAACAUCAUCCUCUAACGCCAACACCAAUUCGGUAGGUCCUGCAGCUAGUAGCAGCAGUACAGCCAAUAGUGGUGUCGGCGGAGCGAACGAUGGUUCAAUCAGUGCACCAACAACAUUGAUUACCAAUCACCCACCUGCCAAUGCCUCCGACGGCAACAGCAACACCACCAAUUCGGGUGGUAGCGGCACUGACGUUUCAACGGCACCAGACAAUGCGCUCGGGUUUCUAAAAUACGACCAGGAAUUGCUAUACAUUCUUGAGCCUAUAACUAUUAUCGGACGAAACUCGUCCACAUCACACGUGCACUUUCAUGUCGCCGAGAACAAUUUGGUGUCGCGAAAGCAUUUUCAAGUUCUUUACGAUGGAAAUGCACGUGACUUCUUCGUGCAGUGUCUAAGUAAAAAUGGCAUUUUCGUUGAUGACUUCUUGCAGCGACGCAAUGCUGAUCCGUUGAGAUUGCCUAACAGCUGUUACUUUCGCUUCCCUAGCACCGAGAUACGCAUACAAUUCGAAAGUUUUGUACGCGGUAGCACUUCAAGUGCCGACGCUCUAAAUAGCUCGACCAGCAGUGGCACAUCCGUUCCGUAUCAUAACAACAGCCAUCAAAAUAUAGCUGUCCUACACAAUAGCACUGGAGUUAGUGGUGGUGGAGGUGGCGGCCCUGCUCAAUUUAUUAUUUCGCCUGCGCCACCCGAUGAUCAUCAUCAUCAUCCACAUGCGGUGACUGGUUCUUCAGCGCAUGCGUCAACACAUGGCUCUCAUCAUCAGCAACACCAUGUGUCCUCAAAUGCGGUGUCGUCGUCGACUCACUUGCUACCGCACAUGGAUAAUUCAAAUGUGUACUCGCCACUAAAGAUAUCCAUACCGAAGAAGGAGCAGAAGAGCCCAUAUUUAUCACCAACUGGUACAAUAAGUGCUGCUAAUAGUUGCCCAGCCAGCCCGCGUCAAGGUUUUCAUCAGAACCAAGCCAACUACAAUAAUUAUAGCAACAACAAUUUGCAAAACCAAGAUCUAUUCCAAACACCAUCGACAGCUAGCUACAACCACAAUGAGAAGCCACCAUAUAGCUAUGCUCAGUUGAUUGUACAAGCUAUAUCAGCAGCACCGGAUAAACAAUUGACACUAUCGGGCAUUUAUUCAUUCAUUGUAAAGCAUUAUCCGUACUAUCGUAAGGAAACUAACAAAGGUUGGCAGAACUCUAUUCGCCAUAAUCUCAGCUUGAAUAGGUAUUUCAUUAAAGUGGCACGCUCUCAAGAUGAGCCGGGGAAGGGCAGUUUUUGGCGCAUUGAUCCCGAUAGUGGCGCCAAGUUGAUUGAUCACAGCUACAAGAAACGCCGUCAGCGCAGCAGCCAAGGUUUUCGCCCAUCAUAUGGCAUGCCGCGUUCGGCACCGGUCUCACCGAGUCACAUGGACAAUUCGCGUGAGAGUUCACCUUUACAGGAUUUCGUUUUGCAAUCGGCCCCUGGCUCGCCUGGCAUGUCAAUCGAGCAGCGCGCUGCCGAUGGUGAUCUUAUGUACAACAAUACAACUCAGAAUAUGCACCAUUCGACGGCUAACAAUUCCCACAAUCAAUACAAUAGUAGCGGAAGCCCAUACUAUGUUUCAAAUCAAAAUUCAGCUAUAACCGGUGGACAACAACAUCAACAGCAGCAGCAGUUGCACAAUGAGAGUGGAGCUGGCAAUAUUGGCAAUAGCAGUGGAAAUGGUGUUGGCGCCUUGAUUGCACUCAAACGCAAUCAUGCAAUGGCAGCUGGCGCACAACAGCAGCAGCAGCAACAGCAGCAAGUGCAAACGUUGCAUCCUGACAUCAUAUAUGAGGAAAUGCCCACUGACUACAGUGGAAAUAUGGAAUCGGGCGAUGAAUGUGGCAGUAUUGGUGGUGGUGGUGGCAGUAGCGGUAAUGGUGGUGGCUCUAGUGAUGCUGCCAAACGACCCAAAUACAUUUCCGAAGUACUCUGAUGUGUUGCUGUUGCCGUUUCCGUUUCUUCUAAUGUUUGCAAGUAAAUAAGCAAAUUCAACAUAAAACAAAACAAUGAUAACAUUAACUAUUGACAAACAAUUGCCGCCACAAAAUACCCGUGCGAUCUCAAAUGCAUACUUUACAUAUAUACAUACAUACAUACAUACAUACAAACAUUUAUUUUAAAUGUAAAACCAAUUUGUUAUACACAAUGCCCAAUUCAUGAAUAGGUAAUAAUUUUCAAAUGGUUCCGCCUAUUGCUUUUCGCUCACGGUAUAUUUUAAAAGCACAUGCAAAAAAAAGCAUAUUGAAACCUUUUAUCAAGCUUUUAUUAGUAUUUAAAUAGCUAAUAGCGCAUUUGGUAUUUUUUAAGAAUUUUAUGUUUUGAUCAAAAACCGUCUCACCUUAAUUAAAUUGACUGCAAUUGUUACCUUAGUGUCACCUAAAAAAAUAUUAAUACCUUUCUGAAUUGGGCUAAAAACGUGAAAACACUAAACACAGCAGCGGCACAGCGCAGAGCAAAAGACACUGAAACACAUACAUACAAAAACAGAUAGAUACAAACAUUGCAAAAACUGUUGAUGGCGAAUUGCUUAAUGCGAAUGAAAAAUUAAUAUCACAACAAAACUUGUGGAACAAACAGGAAGACAACAAACAAUGAUAAAUCUUCAUUAUUACACCAUCGGUAUAUUGAAUUUAACAAGCGAAAUAUGUAAACAAAAAAAUGUACUUGUGUACCCUGGACGAAUUCAAUAUGCUUGAUGAUGCUAUAUUAAACUACUUAGUAUGAAAAAAAGGGACAAAACAAGAAAAAAAGAAAACAAAUUAACUACUUAAAAGUUGAAAAAAAGCUAAAUACACACAAAAAAAUCAAAACAAAAAUAAAAAACAAAUUUAAGAAAUUGUAAACAAGCAAGCAUAUGAAAGUAGUACAUUUUAAAUGGUGGAAAUAAUAAUAAUUUAAUAUACAAGUAAUAAUAAAUAUACAAGCUAAAAAUAAAGCAGCAUGUUUGGAAGCAGGAAGCAUGGAAUGGUGGAUACAAAAGCAACAUCAAAAUAGGCAAGGAAAGGCAAAGCGAAACAAAAAAUUAAUAAAUCAUCGUUGUGUGGCAACUGAAAAGGAAGCAAAAGAAUUAAUUACCUAUCUCUACAUACCUACAAUUAUAUCGAACCUAAAUCUAGAAAAACAAAUUACAACUAAUAACAAAAAUUUUAAUUAUAAAGCAAGCAAGCAAACAAACAAAACCCCAACAAACAAAUUUAUGAUAAAGAUAUGUAUAAUGAUGAUUGCACUUUAUUUCUAUUAUAAUAAUAAUAAAGAAAACUCCAUUUCAAUGUUUGGACAAAAUGUGUAUUGAGAAAAAAUACAAAGAAUAUAGAUAA